GAAAUGCGAUAAGUAAUGUGAAUUGCAGAUUUCAGUGAAUCAUCGAAUCUUUGAACGCACCUUGCACUCCUUGGUAUUCCGAGGAGUACGCCUGUUUGAGUGUCAUUAAAUUCUCAAAUCUUUAAUUGUUGUAAUGACGAUUGAAGACUUUGGAUGUGGGAGUCUAUUGCUGGCUUUUACUAGUCAGCUCUCCUUAAAUACAUUAGUGGUUACUGUUCUUCCACUUUGGUGUGAUAAUUAUCUACGCCUAUAAGUGAAGAUGUUAAGUGUAGCUGCCUUCUAACAGUCCGAGUCUUAUUUGGACAAUUUUUGAACUGUUUGACCUCAAAUCAGGUGGGAUUACCCGCUGAACUUAA
This 356-nucleotide unclassified non-coding RNA is filed under the name uncultured Agaricomycetes. RNAcentral's name for it is "sequence contains ITS1". The stretch from base 1 to 105 matches the Rfam family "5.8S ribosomal RNA", at positions 50 to 154 of the family's 154-position model. Lineage: Eukaryota; Fungi; Basidiomycota; Agaricomycetes. The record is from RNAcentral.